RNAcentral lists this ribosomal RNA (418 nucleotides) under Edwardsiella ictaluri. RNAcentral's name for it is "bacterial SSU rRNA". It matches the Rfam family "Bacterial small subunit ribosomal RNA", at positions 62 to 472 of the family's 1533-position model. Lineage: Bacteria; Pseudomonadati; Pseudomonadota; Gammaproteobacteria; Enterobacterales; Hafniaceae. The record is from RNAcentral.
CCCUGUAGCAGGGGAGAAAGCUUGCUUUCUCCGCUGACGAGCGGCGGACGGGUGAGUAAUGUCUGGGGAUCUGCCUGAUGGAGGGGGAUAACUACUGGAAACGGUAGCUAAUACCGCAUAACGUCGCAAGACCAAAGUGGGGGACCUUCGGGCCUCAUGCCAUCAGAUGAACCCAGAUGGGAUUAGCUAGUAGGUGGGGUAAUGGCUCACCUAGGCGACGAUCCCUAGCUGGUCUGAGAGGAUGACCAGCCACACUGGAACUGAGACACGGUCCAGACUCCUACGGGAGGCAGCAGUGGGGAAUAUUGCACAAUGGGCGCAAGCCUGAUGCAGCCAUGCCGCGUGUAUGAAGAAGGCCUUCGGGUUGUAAAGUACUUUCAGUAGGGAGGAAGGUGUGAGCGUUAAUUAGGCGUUCAGA